CGAUGUUUCUGUCGGUGCGCCCUAAUUGAGACCCCAGGUCAGGCGGGGCUACCCGCUGAGUUUAAGCAUAUCAAUAAGCGGA
RNAcentral lists this ribosomal RNA (82 nucleotides) under Pouzolzia sp. RC1682. RNAcentral describes it as "partial 28S ribosomal RNA". RNAcentral also lists the same sequence under 1 other name. The record is from RNAcentral. Lineage: Eukaryota; Viridiplantae; Streptophyta; Magnoliopsida; Rosales; Urticaceae.